CAAGGCCAAUGAUGUAUUCUGAAGAAUUUGCCUACAUUGUCUGAUACAUUUUUUUGGAUUAGAUGAAUAUGACUGUUCUGAGGCCUUG
This is a small nucleolar RNA of Coffea eugenioides, 88 nucleotides long. RefSeq annotates it as small nucleolar RNA SNORD34. NCBI's taxonomy places the organism in Eukaryota, Viridiplantae, Streptophyta, Magnoliopsida, Gentianales, Rubiaceae. The record is from RefSeq and is a predicted model, not a curated record. The transcript has a single exon.